AGAACGAACGCUGGCGGCAGGCCUCAAACAUGCAAGUCUAGGGGGUGUAGCAAUACAUCACCGGCGGACGGGUGCGUAACGCGUGGGAAUAUACCUAUUGGUUCGGAACAACUGAGGGAAACUUCAGCUAAUACCGGAUGAGCCCUAACGGGGAAAGAUUUCUCGCCAAUAGAUUAGCCCGCGUCCGAUUAGCUAGUUGGUGGGGUAAAAGCCUACCAAGGCGACGAUCGGUAGCUGUUCUGAGAGGAAGAUCAGCCACACUGGGACUGAGACACGGCCCAGACUCCUACGGGAGGCAGCAGUUGGGAAUCUUGGACAAUGGGGGAAACCCUGAUCCAGCCAUGCCGCGUGAGUGAUGAAGGCCUUCGGGUUGUAAAACUCUUUCGACGGGGACGAUAAUGACGGUACCCGUAGAAGAAGCUCCGGCUAACUUCGUGCCAGCAGCCGC
This 448-nucleotide ribosomal RNA is filed under the name uncultured bacterium. Its description in RNAcentral is "SSU rRNA". It matches the Rfam family "Bacterial small subunit ribosomal RNA", at positions 26 to 518 of the family's 1533-position model. The record is from RNAcentral.